This 253-nucleotide ribosomal RNA is filed under the name uncultured bacterium. RNAcentral's name for it is "partial 16S ribosomal RNA". It matches the Rfam family "Bacterial small subunit ribosomal RNA", at positions 524 to 776 of the family's 1533-position model. The record is from RNAcentral.
UACAGAGGUCUCGAGCGUUGUUCGGAUUCAUUGGGCGUAAAGGGCGCGUAGGCUGCGGGGCAAGUCGGGUGUGAAAUCUCAGAGCUCAACUCUGAAACUGCACUCGAUACUGCUUUGCUUGAGGACUGGAGAGGAGAUUGGAAUUCACGGUGUAGCAGUGAAAUGCGUAGAUAUCGUGAGGAAGACCAGUGGCGAAGGCGGAUCUCUGGACAGUUCCUGACACUGAGACACGAAGGCCAGGGGAGCAAACGGG